UAGGGAAUAUUGCUCAAUGGGCGCAAGCCUGAAGCAGCAACGUCGCGUGGAGGAUGAAGGUUUUAGGAUUGUAAACUCCUUUUGUCAGAGAAGAUCAUGACGGUAUCUGACGAAUAAGCACCGGCUACUCCGUGCCAGCAGCCGCGGUAAUACGGAGGGUGCAAGCGUUACUCGGAAUCACUGGGCGUAAAGAGUGCGUAGGCGGGGUUGUAAGUCAGGUGUGAAAUCCUAUGGCUUAACCAUAGAACUGCAUUUGAAACUGCCACCCUAGAGUGUGGGAGAGGUAGGUGGAAUUCUUGGUGUAGGGGUAAAAUCCGUAGAUAUCAAGAGGAAUACUCAUUGCGAAGGCGACCUGCUGGAACAAUACUGACGCUGAUUGCACGAAAGCGUGGGGAGCAAACAG
Molecule: ribosomal RNA, 403 nt
Filed under: uncultured bacterium
Lineage: Bacteria
Description: bacterial SSU rRNA
Rfam family: Bacterial small subunit ribosomal RNA
Source: RNAcentral